UGGGGAAUUUUGGACAAUGGGGGAAACCCUGAUCCAGCCAUCCCGCGUGUGCGAUGAAGGCCUUCGGGUUGUAAAGCACUUUUGGCAGGAAAGAAACGUCCUGGGUUAAUACCCCGUGAACCUGACGGUACCUGCAGAAUAAGCCCCGCCUAACUACGUGCCAGCAGCCGCGGUAAUCCGUAGGGUGCAAGCGUUAAUCGGAAUUACUGGGCGUAAAGCGUGCGCAGGCGGUUCGGAAAGAAAGAUGUGAAAUCCCAGAGCUCAACUUUGGAACUGCAUUUUUAACUACCGGGCUAGAGUGUGUCAGAGGGAGGUGGAAUUCCGCGUGUAGCAGUGAAAUGCGUAGAUAUGCGGAGGAACACCGAUGGCGAAGGCAGCCUCCUGGGAUAACACUGACGCUCAUGCACGAAAGCGUGGGGAGCAAACAGG
RNAcentral lists this ribosomal RNA (429 nucleotides) under Acidobacteriota bacterium. RNAcentral describes it as "Acidobacteria bacterium partial 16S ribosomal RNA". It matches the Rfam family "Bacterial small subunit ribosomal RNA", at positions 355 to 776 of the family's 1533-position model. The record is from RNAcentral. Lineage: Bacteria; Pseudomonadati; Acidobacteriota.